GACGAACGCUGGCGGCGUGCCUAAUACAUGCAAGUUGAGCGCUGAAGGUUGGUACUUGUGCCAACUGGAUGAGCAGCGAACGGGUGAGUAACGCGUGGGGAAUCUGCCUUUGAGCGGGGGACAACAUUUGGAAACGAAUGCUAAUACCGCAUAAAAACUUUAAACACAAGUUUUAAGUUUGAAAGAUGCAAUUGCAUCACUCAAAGAUGAUCCCGCGUUGUAUUAGCUAGUUGGUGAGGUAAAGGCUCACCAAGGCGAUGAUACAUAGCCGACCUGAGAGGGUGAUCGGCCAAAAUGGGACUGAGAAACGGCCCAAACUCCUACGGGAGGCAGCAGUAGGGAAUCUUCGGCAAUGGACGAAAGUCUGACCGAGCAACGCCGCGUGAGUGAAGAAGGGUGUCGGAUCGUAAAACUCUGUUGGUAGAGAAGAACGUUGGUGAGAGUGGAAAGCUCAUCAAGUGACGGUAACUACCCAGAAAGGGACGGCUAACUACGUG
This 497-nucleotide ribosomal RNA is filed under the name uncultured bacterium. RNAcentral describes it as "partial 16S ribosomal RNA". It matches the Rfam family "Bacterial small subunit ribosomal RNA", at positions 28 to 507 of the family's 1533-position model. The record is from RNAcentral.